RNAcentral lists this long non-coding RNA (671 nucleotides) under Mus pahari (shrew mouse). Its description in RNAcentral is "lncRNA (MGP_PahariEiJ_G0012031.1)". The record is from RNAcentral. Lineage: Eukaryota; Metazoa; Chordata; Mammalia; Rodentia; Muridae.
UGUUUGCUCCUUCUCUGUCUCGAGCAUGGUUUUCUAUCCUGCCGGGGAGGGCGAGAGCGCUGGGCAGAGGUGGCACCUGACCCGCUAGAACUCCGAUGUCACUGCUGUGGCUGUUACUCCCCUCGGCAAGAGUCAAGGCGCACGCAGGACGUGAACCCUGCACUGGACUGACCUCAUCUUUCCGAGGCUGUGAUAUUUCAGGAGAGUCUCAUUAUUGCUGAACAACUGAGACCACCAGGAGCCAGGUCCUAAGUGCAAAGAGAGACAGGAAACCUUUCUGCAACCAAAGGCUAUUACGAGGAUGGCUACAUCUCUCCUUCUGAAUGCCACCAGAUCAUUCCAGUCGCCUGCCUUUGUGGUGUCUCCAGACAAGGGCUGACAACCAUAGACGCGUCGCAGCCCUAAGGCUACUCAGAGAGAAGAACGUCUCUGGAGAAGGAUAUGAAUCAGAGAGAAAGAAGUGAAAUCUCGUCCUAGGAAGAAAGGGAGCGAUUGGCAGAAGACUUUUCUCUGGUAAGGCAAUUUACACACUUGUCUUUUGAGGGGUGAGUCACUGUCUGUGAUACAUUUCCCAGCAAUGUCUAAGAGUUUCCAAAUCUGGAGUUCACACUCCAGCCAGAUAAGGGAAAGGAGAAAGGGUCUUAUAAUCCACCUAGUUACCACUCAGAGCC